RNAcentral lists this long non-coding RNA (738 nucleotides) under Brassica napus (rape). Its description in RNAcentral is "long non-coding RNA (BNAP_LNC005641)". Lineage: Eukaryota; Viridiplantae; Streptophyta; Magnoliopsida; Brassicales; Brassicaceae. The record is from RNAcentral.
AAUUUGAUCACACGGAUCACUUUGAUAUCGGAACCUAUCAGACAGCAGCAAAGCUCUGCUCCUGUUUCAGAGGUUUAAAUCACAAGGCUCUGUGCCAAGUUAUUACACUUUCACAAGCUUAGUGUAGCUGCUUUCUCUAAGAGGGUUUAAUAAGAACAUUGAGUUAGCUAAUGCAUUCAUCUACAUGUAUGCUAAUGCAAUCUCUUCGAAAUUGCAGAGAAGAGGAAUCUUGUAUCUUAGACUUCAAUGAUGAUUGGUAUCACAAGGAAAGGAGUAGAUGCUGUUGGGCUUUUCGAUGAAACGGUUGGUUACAGUAACAGACCAGACCGGAUUGUUUCCAUGGUGGUUCUGAGCGGUGCCGCCAUGCCAGUCUAAUGGAGAAAGGAGUGAAGUUAUCUGUUAUCAGACAAUUUUGAUGAUCAAGAAGCCGGAACUUGAAAGUGAUACACAAAGAUGAAAAUUUGGUUUGUGUUUUAAGUUACCCGUUAUAUGAUUCUCCACCGUUCUUUUUUUUUGCACAUUCAAGAUGGCGUUUAAGAUCACACGCAAACGAGGUAUGAAUGAUUGUUGAAACUACCCAGAAUCUGAAAAUGGGUGAGAAUCUUUCUUGAUUUAACAACCAUUACUGGACAAAUCUCUCUCUUUUCAUAGAUACGGUAACGAAGAGUGGUCAUACUUACUAAAGAACAAAGAUCGCUAUACCUUUAGAUGAGGUAUGGCUAACAUUGAUAUCAGGAC